RNAcentral lists this long non-coding RNA (212 nucleotides) under Homo sapiens (human). RNAcentral describes it as "HSALNT0356332". The record is from RNAcentral. Lineage: Eukaryota; Metazoa; Chordata; Mammalia; Primates; Hominidae.
AGGGUGACAUGCAAAAGGAACAUCUAAAUGCUCUUCCUGUGAUCUUUGGGGAAAGCACCCGAGUAGAAAGAGUGUCCACGGUACAUUAUCCAUGUAAAAAGUUGUGUCUGGCUACUCCCUUGAACCAGCAGAGACAGAUAUCAGGACAACAUGGCCUUAAUAUGGAGCAUAGGAUUUUUUCCGGUAUAGAUAUCAUUUUAGAACAUCUUUCG